RNAcentral lists this ribosomal RNA (406 nucleotides) under uncultured prokaryote. Its description in RNAcentral is "bacterial SSU rRNA". It matches the Rfam family "Bacterial small subunit ribosomal RNA", at positions 355 to 776 of the family's 1533-position model. The record is from RNAcentral. RNAcentral also lists the same sequence under 1 other name.
UGGGGAAUAUUGGGCAAUGGGCGAAAGCCUGACCCAGCAACGCCGCGUGAAGGAAGAAGGUCUUCGGAUCGUAAACUUCUGUCCUAAGUGAAGAGAAGAAGACGGUAGCUUAGGAGGAAGCCCCGGCUAACUACGUGCCAGCAGCCGCGGUAAUACGUAGGGGGCAAGCGUUGUCCGGAAUGAUUGGGCGUAAAGGGCGCGUAGGCGGCCUGUUAAGUCUGGAGUGAAAGUCCUGCCUUCAAGGUGGGAAUUGCUUUGGAUACUGAUGGGCUUGAGUGCAGGAGAGGUUAGUGGAAUUCCCAGUGUAGCGGUGAAAUGCGUAGAGAUUGGGAGGAACACCAGUGGCGAAGGCGACUAACUGGACUGUAACUGACGCUGAGGCGCGAAAGUGUGGGGAGCAAACAGG